GAUCCUGGCUCCGGAUGAACGCUAGCGACAGGCCUAACACAUGCAAGUCGAGGGGCAGCACAGGUAGCAAUACCGGGUGGCGACCGGCGCACGGGUGAGUAACGCGUAUGCAACUUGCCUAUCAGAGGGGGAUAACCCGGCGAAAGUCGGACUAAUACCGCAUGAAGCAGGGGCCCCGCAUGGGGAUAUUUGCUAAAGAUUCAUCGCUGAUAGAUAGGCAUGCGUUCCAUUAGG
This 234-nucleotide ribosomal RNA is filed under the name uncultured bacterium. RNAcentral describes it as "partial 16S ribosomal RNA". It matches the Rfam family "Bacterial small subunit ribosomal RNA", at positions 15 to 245 of the family's 1533-position model. The record is from RNAcentral.